This 179-nucleotide unclassified non-coding RNA is filed under the name uncultured fungus. RNAcentral describes it as "sequence contains ITS1, 5.8S rRNA gene". Lineage: Eukaryota; Fungi. The record is from RNAcentral.
GUAUUUUGAAUUAAGUAUUCAUAAUAUUUUUCAGACAAAGAGUUAAAAAAUAAAGGUUGAUGUUUGGUCGAUCUCCAUGAAGAAGAUCGACUGACAUUGCACACAAGGUGGAUAUGGAUUUAAAAAGUGCCAUAAAACACUUAUUAUGAAUGAUCCUUCCGCAGGUUCACCUACGGAAA